AGCUCACCAUGGAUGAUGAUACCUCUGCACUUGUUGGCAACUGCUCUGGUAUGUGCAAGGCCAGAAUCCUUGUCAAAGAUGCCCCCAGGCCUUCUUCCUUUCCAUAGUGGGAUGCCCAUGGGACCAGAGUUUGAUGAUGGGCAUAGGGCAGAAGGACUGCUAUGUGAGGAAUGAGGUCCAGAACAAGUGAGGCAUCCUGACCCUGAAGUACCCCACUGAGCACUGCAUCAUCACCAACUGGGAAGACAUGGAGAAGAUCUGGCACCACACCUUCUACAAUGAGUUGUGGCUCCCAAGGAGCACCCUGUGCUAUUGACCAAGGUCCCCCUGAACCCCAAGGCCAACCAUGAGAAGAUAGCCCAGAUCAUGUUUGAGACCUUCAACAUCCCAGCUAUGUACAUGGCCAUCUGGGUCAUGCUGUCCGUCUAGCCUCUGGCCAUACCACUGGCAUUGUGAUGGAUUCCAGUGGCAGGUUCACCUACAGUGUGCUCAUCUCCGAGGACUAUGCCCUUCUCUAUGCCAUCCUGCAUCCAGACCUGGCUUGCCGGGACCUAUCUCAUGAAGAUCCUCCCCUAGUGAAGCUAUAGCUUCACUAUCAUGGCAGAAUGGGAAAUUAUGCAUGACAUCAAGGAGAAGCUGUGCUGGAUCAUCUUGGACUUCAAUCAGGAGCUGACAGCCCCUGCAUCCUUCUUUUCCCUGCCAACAGCCAGGUAAUUACCAUCUGCAACAAUCUCUUCUUGAUAGGUCCCGGCUCUCUUCCACACUUCUUUCCUGCAUAUGGAAUCUUGUGGCAUCCAUGAAACUACUUCCAACUCCAUCAUGAAAUGUGAUGUGAACAUGCACAAGAACCUGUACUCCAACACAGUGCUAUCUGGUGGCACCACCAUGUACCCGAGCAUCCAGGACAGGAUGCAAAAGGAGAUCACUGCCCUGGCCCCCAGCACAAUAAGAUCAAAAUUAUUGUGCCCCGUGAGCACACAUUCUCUGUGUGAAUCAGCGGCUUCAUCCUGGCCUCCCUGUUCACCUUCUAGUGGAUUUGGAUCAGCAAACAAGAAUACUAAAAAUCCAUCCCCUCCAUCGUCCACUACAA
Molecule: long non-coding RNA, 1090 nt
Filed under: Homo sapiens (human)
Lineage: Eukaryota; Metazoa; Chordata; Mammalia; Primates; Hominidae
Description: non-protein coding lnc-RALYL-4:1
Source: RNAcentral